This is a long non-coding RNA of Poecilia latipinna (sailfin molly), 2716 nucleotides long. RefSeq lists it as uncharacterized. The record is from RefSeq and is a predicted model, not a curated record. NCBI's taxonomy places the organism in Eukaryota, Metazoa, Chordata, Actinopteri, Cyprinodontiformes, Poeciliidae. The transcript has 2 exons.
GACAGAGAGAUGUAAAGUCAGAAAACACACCCUAGAAAAAUAGAACGCUGAUACAAAUUUAUGCAGUUACAUGGAGAUAAUCACAAGCUGCUUUUUACUUGCUAUAUACCCGAUACCCAGUAAAUACAGGGUGAGUUUCACCAAUACAGACACUUUUUAUUUCAGUCUGAUAUAUCAUCAAAUUUCUGACUUUUAGUGCUAAACAAAAAAUUAACUCCGCUAUUGGCGCAUUAGCAGAAGUGUGCCCUCCAUUUUAAAGCUGCUGCCCUUUCCCUGCAUUGCUGGCCUGUCACCUAAAAAGACACAGCCACUGAGAAACCAGCAGGUUUUUAAAUCGACCUCCACUGUGUCAUUACCAGCUGCUUUUGCAUUUCCUUGGUGUGGAGGGCUGAUCAUAUCUGAUCAUUUUAUGUUGUUGAAAUUCAGUGAAAGUAGACCUGAAAAUCUUUAUUAAACUGAUCAAACCAACCCAAUUAAACAUAGUGCACUGAAAUAGUUCUUUAAACUUUCCAUUCAGUCAGUCACAUUUUUUAUGAAAUUGACUCUAAAAUUAAAGGGAAACCAGUUUUAUCUUUACGUUUGAAGUCUAAUCUUUAAGCUCAUUCUGUCACAAAAGGUAAAAUUUGCUUCCAAUUCUUUACUGAGAAAACCAACAAGACUUUUCUUGAGAAACUUUAUGUUGGGGAUCUGGGACAGAGCAGAAAAACAACUGCAGGAUUUAUGAUGGCUUUGUUUGUUUACAUGUUUCUGUGGACUUUGCAGUAACAAAUGAGCUGGUCGGGUAUGAAACAAUGAAUAAGUUACCCAAACUGGUAUGAAACUUACCAGUUUGGGUAUAAACUGGUAAGUUUCAUACUAAAUGAGCUGGUUGAACCUGGGUCUGGAGAUGGAGCAGAGCAGGUUUGACCGCCCUGCUAACAGACUCCUUUCUUUUCUUUCAAGCCGCUCGUUUAGAAAAAAGAAAAAAGCUGCACACAGGUUUUCAUUAUUUUCCCCAGCAGACAGAGCGAGAGAGACGAGCCGGGCGCGGCGGGUGAAGCGAGAGCCGAGCGAGGAUGACGUCAGCUUUGUUUAUGUGCACAAAGCGGGAGGAGGAGGGCGAGCGGCAACUCCUCACGCGAUCGAAAACAGCAAGAAAAGAGAGGGAGGGAGGAGAGCGAUAAGGAAAUAACAGACAGGACAGGCAUCCUGAGGGAAAGCAGUGACUGCUACACUACUGCCUUUAGCUUUACCAUAAAACCUGCUUAAAAUUGCUUUCUGUUGUGACAAAAGUUAAUUGUUGGUUGUUUUGCAAGGAGAAUGAACUUACUGAGAAUGAUGCAAAUAAAGAAAACAAAAAGAGGGAAAGCAAAGCAGAUAGAACAAAGAGGCAAAUUUGAAGAUUUUCCAGGUUUUUAACACUUUUACAAUUCAAGCAUUUUCAAUGUAAGAUGUCAAACUUUUCCAGCAAGACUUUAGAGAUAAAAACAAUACAAAAUAACCACAAAAAGACAAUUACAAAUCACUAUUAUGUGCCUUAAUUUAUUACUGUUGUUAAUAGUCUUUUGAUAGAAUUCUAGGAAACUAAGAUAUAGCAAAAUGUUAUGUUUGAAAAACCAAAAUACCAGAUUGGUCUGUGAACAAAACUCUAAUACAACAAAAGAAAAUCCACCAAUUUCCAUAAUGAUGUUUAAAAUAACAAGAAAUCAAUAAAAAUAUAUAUUGCAAUAGAGACUUAAUCAAUAUCAAUGGAUAAUAGCUCUGGUAGAAUAUUCAAUAAUCAGUAUGAAUGCAGAGGAAAAGCUUUAGCUGCUCAACCUCUCAUGGUUAACUAAACUUGGUUGGUGGAGUCUACUAACUCACUCGCUCUUUGGUUACCUAGCAACCACCGGCUGGGGAGCAAGAAGUUUCAAGUUCCCCCCUAGGCAACUUCGGUUGCCUAGCAACGACCUGCUGAGUAACUGCGCCUCCUAGCUGCUUAAAAAAACACGAAGUAAAAAUUUCAUGGAAAGAUCACGAAACCAGUUUGACAACAUUUUAGAUACUUAAAACAAAAAAUGAAUCAAUAAUUAUUGAUAGACUGAUAUGAAGCACUUAUAGUGAGAUAAGUUUUCAGUUAUAUCGUCCUAAAAUAUAAGAUAAUUAAUAAGUCAUUGAGCCAUUAGUUAUAAUAAAUAUUCAGAAAAUCGAAACAAUACAAAUAAAUCAUGUUAAGGUAAAUUACCUUCCUGCUCAAAUUAAAUGCUUAAACACAAAAUAUAAAGUUAACAACAAAAUCCCUAAUAUUGUUCUGCUUUCUGUCGCUUGGCAAAUAGAAUAACAUUAGUUAUUAUAACUAAUCUAAAAAAAGUUUAGUUUAAUUUAACAUCAGACGAUGAGAGAAAAUUUUAUUUUGUAUCUUUUUAUUAGGCGUAAUUAAUAUUUUCCUUUUAUUAGAAAACUGUGUAGUUUGAAUAUUCAGCACUUUCUAAACUUUGAAAACACCUUUUUGAAAUUCAAGCAUUUUCAUGGAUUUUUGUGGAACAAAACAAGGAAUAAAAGAUAAAACACCGAGCAAAAGAAACUGAUUCACUCUCACAAAUCUGUUUCCAUAGAAACAGGAACACAAACUCACUUUACCCAAGCAGAGACAAACUAGCCUGUUGAGAUAUUUGUCUGUUUGCAUGAAAGAAAAAAUCAACCGUGGUGCGUUCAAGAGCAAUAAGAAAACUUUACGCUCAUAUUCUGGGUUGACCUA